RNAcentral lists this ribosomal RNA (872 nucleotides) under Rhodococcus sp. RP20. RNAcentral's name for it is "bacterial SSU rRNA". It matches the Rfam family "Bacterial small subunit ribosomal RNA", at positions 27 to 918 of the family's 1533-position model. The record is from RNAcentral. Lineage: Bacteria; Bacillati; Actinomycetota; Actinomycetes; Mycobacteriales; Nocardiaceae.
GGGCAAUUGCCGGUGCUUACCAUGCAAGUCGAACGAUGAAGCCCAGCUUGCUGGGUGGAUUAGUGGCGAACGGGUGAGUAACACGUGGGUGAUCUGCCCUGCACUCUGGGAUAAGCCUGGGAAACUGGGUCUAAUACCGGAUAUGACCUCUUGCUGCAUGUUCUGGGGUGGAAAGUUUUUCGGUGCAGGAUGAGCCCGCGGCCUAUCAGCUUGUUGGUGGGGUAAUGGCCUACCAAGGCGACGACGGGUAGCCGGCCUGAGAGGGCGACCGGCCACACUGGGACUGAGACACGGCCCAGACUCCUACGGGAGGCAGCAGUGGGGAAUAUUGCACAAUGGGCGCAAGCCUGAUGCAGCGACGCCGCGUGAGGGAUGACGGCCUUCGGGUUGUAAACCUCUUUCACCCAUGACGAAGCGCAAGUGACGGUAGUGGGAGAAGAAGCACCGGCCAACUACGUGCCAGCAGCCGCGGUAAUACGUAGGGUGCGAGCGUUGUCCGGAAUUACUGGGCGUAAAGAGCUCGUAGGCGGUUUGUCGCGUCGUCUGUGAAAUCCCGCAGCUCAACUGCGGGCUUGCAGGCGAUACGGGCAGACUCGAGUACUGCAGGGGAGACUGGAAUUCCUGGUGUAGCGGUGAAAUGCGCAGAUAUCAGGAGGAACACCGGUGGCGAAGGCGGGUCUCUGGGCAGUAACUGACGCUGAGGAGCGAAAGCGUGGGUAGCGAACAGGAUUAGAUACCCUGGUAGUCCACGCCGUAAACGGUGGGCGCUAGGUGUGGGUUUCCUUCCACGGGAUCCGUGCCGUAGCCAACGCAUUAAGCGCCCCGCCUGGGGAGUACGGCCGCAAGGCUAAAACUCAAGAGAUUUGACGGUA